Molecule: ribosomal RNA, 710 nt
Filed under: uncultured marine archaeon
Lineage: Archaea
Description: bacterial SSU rRNA
Rfam family: Archaeal small subunit ribosomal RNA
Source: RNAcentral
UACCGCUAUUGGAGUUCGAUUAAGCCUGCGAGUCGCGAGAAAUUAGAUUCUCGGCGUACCGCUCAGUAACACGUGGGUAACCUGCCCUAUGCUGGAUAAUAACCUCGGGAAACUGAGUAUAAUGAUCCAUAGUUCACUACGCCUGGAACGGUGAGUGGAUGAAAGCUCCGGCGGCAUAGGAUGGGCCUGCGGCGUAUCAGGUAGUAGGGGGUGUAACGUACCCUCUAGCCCUCUACGCGUACGGGUGUUGGGAGACAUAGCCCGGAGAUGGAUUCUGAGACACGAAUCCAGACCCUACGGGGUGCAGCAGGCGCGAAAACUUGGCAAUGCGAGAAAUCGUGACCAGGGAACUCCAAGUGCAUCGGGUAAGACCGGUGCUUUUCUUGACUCUAAAUAGGUCUUGGAAUAAGGGGUGGGUAAGGACGGUGCCAGCCGCCGCGGUAAUACCGGCGCCUCAAGUGGUAGUCGCUUUUAUUGGGCCUAAAACGUCCGUAGCCGGUCUGAUACAUUCGUGGGUAAAUCAACCAGCUCAACUGGUUGAAUUCUGCGAGGACGGUCAGACUUGGGACCGGGAGAGGUGUGGGGUACGCUCAGGGUAGGGGUAAAAUCCUGUCAUCCUGAGCGGACCACCUGUUGCGAAGGCGCCACACUAGGAACGGAUCCGACGGUCAGGGACGAAGCCUAGGGGCACGAACCGGGAUUAGAUACCC